Molecule: long non-coding RNA, 777 nt
Filed under: Olea europaea subsp. europaea
Lineage: Eukaryota; Viridiplantae; Streptophyta; Magnoliopsida; Lamiales; Oleaceae
Source: RNAcentral
GGCUAGCAUAAGAUUUAACCUUCUCACAUUUUGAGAUGUAAAAUUAGUAAUCAAAUUACUAAUAUCAAGUUUGUCCAACAUAUUUUUUUCAAUAGAAAUCAUAGCUAAUCCAUUCAAUCGCUCUUGUGACAUGGAUGAUCGAAGAUAAGAUUUAAUCAACUUCAACUUUGAAAAACUUCUUUCGGCAGAGGCAACUAUGACAUGAAUAGUCAAUAAUACUCUAUAAGUAAUCCAGGCAUUUGCAUAACAACAAUUCAUUUUCUUAAUGUAAUCCAAUACAUCAAUUGCUCCAAAAAUGUUUGUCGAUAUCGCUUCCCUUAAAACUUUCAACUCAAAAAAUAAUUAUAUUCCAUCAAUAUCAGAAAUCGUAUUAUGCUUCAAGUAAUUUUCAAGUUUAAUGCAAGAACACUUCAAAACAUCAUAUCAAUAGAUUUAAGUCUUUUCAAAUCAAACAAAAAUCCAAAAAUAUCAUCAUAUUUUUGAAAUUGCUCAAAUCUAUUCUGAAGUGAUGAUAGAACUUGAUCCACUAUAUAUAUGAAAUAAUUGAUCUUAAAAGAUUCUUCAGCUGUUUGUGUUAUCUCCUAAGAAGAAAUCUCAUCAAACUGUUUUUUUCUAUGUAUAACUCGUUUUUCACGAAAUAUCGGUUCAAUUUCUAAUUCACUUGCAAUCUCUUUAACAUCAACCAUGGCCGAUUCAAAACCAGAUUCUCUAUAACUUUUGAAAAAUGAAAUGAGGCCUUUUAAAUGGUCUAUAACAACAUCAAUAUGCAUGUCUUCU